AGGUGUUUAAAGUCUUUCUGCGAGAAAAAUGUCUGAACAAUUGUAAAAAUAAAGUAAGAUAUUAGAGAGGGAGAUUAUAAUCAGUUAAUCGUGAUAUGAUAUUAAUUACUCUACUUUCAUAAUCAUUAAGAAAAAAGACGCCUCACGCCUGGACAAACUGGUGAGGAAGGCAGGCUCUAUUGUUGGCAUGGAGCUGGACAGUUUAACAUCUGUGGCAGAGCGACGGGCGCUAAGCAGGCUCCUAUCAAUUAUGGAGAAUCCACUGCAUCCACUAAACAAUGUCAUCUCCAGACAGAAGAGCAGCUUCAGCGACAGACUGCUGUCACUGUCCUGCUCCAUUGACAGACUGAGAAGAUCGUUCCUCCUCCAAACUAUGCGACUCUUCAAUUCCACCGGGGGGGGUAAACGUUAACAUUAUAAAAAGUUAUUGUCUGUUUUUUCCUGCAUUAUUAUCAAUCUUUAAUUUAAUAUAUAUAUAUUUUUUUGUAUCAGUAUGCUGCUGCUGGAGAAUGUGAAUUUCCCCUUGGGAUUAAUAAAGUAUCUAUCUAUUUUCCUGA
Long non-coding RNA from Erpetoichthys calabaricus (reedfish), 557 nucleotides. RefSeq lists it as uncharacterized. The transcript has 2 exons. The record is from RefSeq and is a predicted model, not a curated record. Lineage: Eukaryota; Metazoa; Chordata; Cladistia; Polypteriformes; Polypteridae.